AGAGUUUGAUCCUGGCUCAGGACGAACGCUGGCGGCGUGCCUAAUACAUGCAAGUUGCACGAGAACGUAUCCUUCGGGGUGCUAGUAAAGUGGCGAACGGGUGAGUAACACGUAAGCAACCUGCCCUCGCGCUGGGAAUAACUUCGCUAACGCGGAGCUAAUACCGAAUAACGCAAAGAGUCUUCAUGGACACUUUGUUAAAGGUGGGGACCUUUUUAAGGCCUACCACGUGGGGAGGGGCUUGCGCUCCAUUAGAUAGUUGGUGAGGUAACGGCUCACCAAGUCUGCGAUGGAUAGCCGACCUGAGAGGGUGAUCGGCCACACUGGGACUGAGAUACGGCCCAGACUCCUACGGGAGGCAGCAGUAAGGAAUGUUGCGCAAUGGCCUAACGGCUGACGCAGCAACGCCGCGUGAUUGAUGAAGCUAUUAGUAGUGUAAAGAUCUGUUAGGAGGGACGAACACCUCCGCUUCGAAAGGGGCGGAGUCUGACGCUACCUCCAGAGAAAGCUCCGGCUAACUCCGUGCCAGCAGCCGCGGUAAUACGGGGGGAGCAAGCGUUGUCCGGAAUUACUGGGCGUAAAGGGCAGGCAGGCGGACUAUCAAGUCAAAAGUGAAAUGUACCCGCUCAACGGGUAACCUGCUUAUGAUACUGGUAGUCUUGAGAUUUGAAGGGGAGAGCGGAAUUCCAGGUGUAGCGGUGAAAUGUGUAGAUAUCUGGAAGAACACCGAUGGCGAAGGCAGCUCUCUGGUCAAUAUCUGACGCUGAACUGCGAAAGCGUGGGGAGCGAACAGGAUUAGAUACCCUGGUAGUCCACGCCCUAAACGAUGAAUGCUAGGUGUUGGAGGAAUCGACCCCUUCAGCGCCGAAGCUAACGCAUUAAGCAUUCCGCCUGGGGAGUACGAUCGCAAGGUUGAAACUCAGAGGAAUUGACGGGGGCCCGCACAAGCGGUGGAGUAUGUGGUUUAAUUCGAUGCAACGCGAAGAACCUUACCGGGGUUUGAAAUAUAGUGGAAACUCUGCGAAAUCAGAGCCUCUUCGGACCGCUAUACAGGUGCCGCAUGGCUGUCGUCAGCUCGUGUCGUGAGAUGUUGGGUUAAGUCCCGCAACGAGCGCAACCCCUGUCCUUAGUUGCCAUCAGGUAAUGCUGGGAACUCUAAGGAGACUGCCGGUUUCAAACCGGAGGAAGGUGGGGACGACGUCAAGUCCUCAUGGCCUUUAUAUCCCGGGCUACACACGUACUACAAUGGUCGGUACAAUGGGUCGCAAUACCGCGAGGUGGAGCCAAUCUCAUAAAACCGAUCUCGGUUCGGAUUGGAGUCUGCAACUCGACUCCAUGAAGUCGGAAUCGCUAGUAAUCACGGAUCAGCAUGCCGCGGUGAAUACGUUCCCGGGCCUUGUACACACCGCCCGUCACGCCAUGGAAGUCGGUAGUACCCGAAGUCGCUGUUCCAAUCCCUCACGGGAAGGAAGGCGCCGAAGGUAAGAUUGAUGACUAGGGCGAAGUCGUAACAAGGUA
RNAcentral lists this ribosomal RNA (1518 nucleotides) under metagenome. Its description in RNAcentral is "bacterial SSU rRNA". It matches the Rfam family "Bacterial small subunit ribosomal RNA". The record is from RNAcentral.